GGUGUGGCCCGGGACGCAGUUCGGGUCCUAGCGGUGGCGGUGCCCGGAGCCGGGAGCGCGGAGUCUUUCCCAGCGCGGCGGCCAGGCUAUGAUCGUGGGUCCCCGGCGCCUCGCUCCGGCCAUCCCCAGUCCCUGUGUCAGCCCGAGCCCGAGCGGUGUCCUCAGCCCGGCCCCGCGGCGCGCCCCCUCCGAUGGCGGCGGAGAUCCAGCCCAAACCUCUGACCCGCAAACCGGUCCUGCUGCAGCGGGUCGAGGGGUCCCAGGAGGUGGUGAAUAUGGCCGUGAUCGUGCCCAAGGAGGAGGGCGUCAUCAGCGUCUCGGAGGACAGGACCGUUCGAGUUUGGUUAAAGAGGCACAGCGGACAGUACUGGCCAAGCAUAUGCCACAUGAUGCCUUCUCCAUGUUCAUGCAUGUCUUUUAAUCCGGAAACAAGAAGACUGUCCGUAGGUCUAGACAAUGGUACAAUCUCAGAGUUUAUUUUAUCAGAAGAUUAUAACAAGAUGACUCCUGUGAAAAACUAUCAAGCGCAUCAGAGCAGAGUGACCAUGCUCCUGUUCGUGCUGGAGCUGGAGUGGGUGCUGAGCACCGGACACGACAAGCAGUUUGUGUGGCACUGUUCUGAGAGCGGACGACGCCUGGGAGGCCGCCGCACCGGCGCCGUGGCCUCGGGCCUGCAAUUUGAUGUUGAAACCCGGCAUGUGUUUAUUGGUGACCAUUCAGGCCAAGUAACCAUCCUCAAACUGGAGCAAGAAAACUGCGCCCUGGUGACAACAUUCAGAGGACACACAGAUGCGUCCUUCCAGUCCAGGCUCCGAGUGGCCUCUAACCCCUGCGCAGGCCCGCCUGAAGGUCCUCUGGCCACCCCUGCGUCACCUCCUCCUCGGCUGCCUCCCCGACACCCCAGCCUCCUCCUUCUGAGAGUGAGACAGCCCGUCAGGUCAGCGGACGUGCUUCAAGCCCGUGGCGCCCAGCGGUCCGGCGGCGCUUGCGUGCAGCCCCUGCGCCUGCCUACGGUGCCUACAGGGGGCUCUGUGCGCCCGCUGUCCCCGCGCCUGUCCCCGCCUCUGGCCGCCCUGCCCCCUCUGCCUGUGGCCGCGUCUGAGCCCUGGACCCUCGCCUCUGUCUCCGUACAGCCCGCUCUCCCUGCCCGCAGCCCCACCUCCCCGUCAGAGGUAAAGGCACCGUCACUGUCCCCGCGUUCCUCGCAGCCACGGGAGGCGGAGGCCGGGCAGCGACGGCGCGUGGUGGCCAGCGCAGGGGAAGCAGGGCCGGGCAGGGCGGGGCCUCGCUCGCUGGGAGUGGCCGUCGGCCAGGGGCUCAGGGGUCUGGGAGGAGUGGGGUCCACGGAAAACAGCGGGAAGAGUGGUCCAGGCGGAGAGAACCAGCAUGUCCGAGGUGCCAUGAUGUGGCGGCGCUGGUGGGAGAGCGAGAGUGGGCGGCCGGGGCUGGGACGCAGGUGGAGCGCCGGGCAGGGCUGCGGAGAGGCUGUUCCUCUGGCUCUUGGCGGGCAGGCGCCUGCCGUGCGGGCUGAUGGGGCGCUCUGGCUGUGCGGUGCCCCGCGGGCCGAGAAGGGGUCAGAAGCCGCCCCUCACCGCGCGGUGGGCACUGAGCAAGGGCUUCGUGUCUGCCGGUGUGGUGCCAGUGCGGUGCCAGUGCAGAAUGCUGCCUGAUCCGCCUCCGAGUGUCAUCAUUUUAUCGUGAAAUAUCUCAGAGGAAGACAAGACGUGGCCCAGGAAGGUCACUGACAGGAAGGCAUGUGCAGUGGGUCACACUUGACCUGGUGCCCCUGGACACUACCUGCCCAGCCUGGACACUGCCUGCCCAUCGCCAGCCUGGCCACAGUACAGCUCACUCAUUUAAAGCCGCAGCAAGGAUGUCCGAGAGACCCAAAGCGGUGCCUGUGCAGGCCCACCUGGGGCCCUGGGGGCCCCAAACUCAGCCAGACACGGCGCUGGAAGGGGGUUUGUAAGGCUUAGGUCAGUGUCCUCAUUUCCCUACCCCCAAACAAAGGCCUUAAGAUGAACCCAAUCCAUGAAAAAGUCGGUGAUCUUAUCAGCCCAGACCCAAACUUUCUGAGCCACAGCCACAGCCCAGCCUUCACGUGGUUACAGGUCUGAAGGUUGUGUAAAGAUGCGGGUCAGUGAUAGAAUCGGCCUAAUAGUCACACUCAGAGGCCAGCAUAAGACACUCACCGUCCCUGGGGACACAGAGAACUAGUUUUAUGUUCUUACACUCCCCCUGCUGGUUUUAUUUCUGGAGCAAUAUGCCAAGUACCACAGGUCUUCACUAUUUCUGCAGAAAUUAGAACGUUUUUCUACCACAAAGUUAUACACUGACCUGAACCAAGGGAAAAAGAUUUUGACCACUGGAAAGUCACAGUAUCAAUAAGAUAUUUUUUUUCUCUUACAUCUAAGAAUUUCUUGUGGGGUGGUAUGAACAUUCUGGGAACAGGAGGACUGCGGUGUAAAUCUGCCAAAGGACACUGUGUAAUAAAAAGCUAAAUAGAGACUUGUGCAUUAACUGUUAGGAUUACUGAAAGUAACAGUGUCAGUAUAACAGAAACACUGUAACAGAAACACGUAAAACAAGGACAGGCAUAGUGCAGUGCAAAUACGCAAGUUCAAAUAAACCAAGAGCUUGAUUGUGUCUGCAGUGGAGGCUUUCGCAUCCAGUGGGUGGGGGGUUUCCGCCAAGACUCAGGCCUCUCACUGGCUCUCCGUGAUGGGUGCUGGGGUAUAUGGGUGAGUAAAACAUGCGUGUUAGCUGCCCUGUUUCACAUGGCCUGCUUUGGGAGCAAAUAACAAGAGGGCCUCUCCUUGUCUAGAGAGUUAAAGGAGGGCUUCCAAGGAAGUGGUGCUCGAAUGACUGCUCUGACGGCUGAGAUAGCGUGGGAACAGGGCCUGGUCAUUGCCUUAGGGCCUGGUCACUGCCUUAAAGCAAAGGACACCGUGACAGACAGUGUGGAUGAGGCCUCCUCUGCGUGGUCGCCGCGAGCAUUGGGCACUUUCCUCGUGCUAGGCCUCUGCUCUGUGUGUUCGUGGGGUGUGACUCAUUCAACUUCAACAGAACUGUUGCUGCCCGUUUUACUGAUGAUGUACCUGGAGCAUGGACAUGACAGAACGUGCCCAAGGUCACAUCCCUAAUGAGGGUGGAGCCGGAACGUGAGUCUAGAAUCUGGGCCCAGAGCCAGUGCACGUGUAAUACCAUAUCUCAGCCUCCAGUUUCCCCACCAGAACUGUCCUGGCCCCACAGUCACCCACUGGGAAAGCCACAGGGCCUGCUUCCGAGGGGCAGUGUGUGCGGUGUGGCUAUGUAGUGGCAGGGGAGUCGGACUUCGUGCACAGUAAGCUCCGUUUAAGGAUCUCCAUGUCUGUUAUGACAAGAUGAACAGCCCAUCCAACUGAAUCUUUGAAGUCAAGCCUUUCUAACCAUUCUUUUUGCUAGUGCCCACCAUUAUUUAAGGCUGGCAUGCCGCUCUGCAGAACCUCCCCCUUCUUAUGUGCCUUCCUAGUCCCUUCAGGCUGCCAUGCAGAUCACUGGAGACCAAGAGGCUUACAAGCAGCAGAGAUUCAUUCCUCACAGCCUGGAGGCUGGGGGCCCAAGAUCAAGGUGCCGGCAGGUUCCGCGUCUGCUGAGAGCCGCCCCCUGGUUUACGGACAGCCACCUGCUCGUGAUCACCUUGGCAGCAGGGGCUGGUGAGGGGGCUCCCUGGGGUCACUCUCCCGAGGGCACUAAUCCCAUUCACGAGGGCUCCGCCCGUAUGACCUCACCAUCUCCAAAUAUUGGGAAUUUGGUUUCAGCAUGAAAUUUGGGGGAACACAAACACAUGUUAAAUAGGUAAAAUCAUGCAUUCGUCAUCGUUCUCUUUUCUGUCCCCCUGAUCUUAGUGGCCCAACCAGACAAGUAAGACCACCUCCAGAGCUCCCCGCGGGCAUUCCCUGACCUGAAAGGCGUGCUUGGUAGAACAGGCCAGGGCUGUCCCAUGAACGCUGGUCACCGGGGAGAGAGACGUGCGAAGAACAAGGCAGGGGACAUCCACUCAUGCCUUUCUGCCCUCUUUCAGCCGCUUGCUCGCGUCUGUGCUUACCGGGCACCUCCUGCGAGCCAGGAAGCAUUCUAGUCCUGGAGAUACGGUAGCGAAGAAGCCAAACCCUGGUCUUCCGGAGCUUACGUAAGGUUGGGGCAGUGGACGGUACAUGCAUAAAUACGUACUCUGUUGUUAUGCCCCAAGGAAGACAGAACAAGGAGUGUGCUAAGAGCGCUCAAGGAAGGCUGUCCAGGAGGUGGCAUCGCCCCUGCGUGAAUAGUCGGGGAAGGGGUCACAGCAGAGACACCCCGAGUGCAGAGACUGCAGUGGGAGAGAAGCCAACGCAUGAGGGGGCAUCAGGAAGGCCGUGAGACCAGAGCAGAGCCAGUCGGGAGGAAGAGGGGAGCCGAGAGGCCCCACGGCAGGGACCGGAGCCAGAUCCGGAAGGGCCUGGAAAGGCCAUGGAGAGGACCCCUGACGUCACCUGAACAGGAUGGGAAGCGUAGCCCCGACCAGAGCAGGGGUGUUCUGCGUGCUGUGCAGUCCUCGGUGACCACCGACUGCUGGGGAAGCACAGACAGCAGGACACCUUACAGGGAGCUAGUUAUAUCAUAAUAGUCUUACAGUCUCAGGCUUUUUUUUUUGUUUCAUCCUGAAAUAAUUUAAGACUUUAAAGAAGUUGCAAAACAGUGCAGAGUCUUGUACAUCCUUCACCCAGGUUCCCCAGAUGUUGACAUCUUUGAGAACAAUAGCACCAAUAUCAAAAUCAGGAAAUGAGCAUUGAUACAGUCUGUUCUCUAGGCUGCAGACCCUGUUCAGAUCCCCCAGUUGUCCCACCAAGUGCCUUUCCUUGGGCUCAGGGCCACACCCACGCAUGUGGCUGAAUCUCCUUCGUUUCCUUGAUCCUGGAAGAGUGCUUUCGUCUUUCAUGACCCUGACAAUUUUUAGUACUAGCCAGAAUGUCCCUCCAUUGGUGUAAUGUUUCCUCAUGAUUAAAUUCAGGUUACACAUUUUUUAUAAGAAUACCACAGAACGGAUGAAUACUAUGUCCUCCUCAGUGCAGCCUAUCAGGAGGCACAGGGUAUGGUUUGACCUGUGACUCGUGGUGGUAACUUGAUCAUCGGGCUUAAAGUAGUGUCUGGGAGGGUUUCUGCAUUUUAAUUACCCUUUGUAAUUCAUAACUAUGUUAUGAGGAAAUACUUUGACAUAAUGUAAAUAUUGUUUCUCAUCAUAUUUCUGCCCAAUAAUUUCAGUAUCCAUUGAUGGUGAUUUUCAGAAAUAAUAGUGACUGCGGCGUUUGCUAUAUUGUGCUUUUUCUAAUAUCAUUCCUUCUCUGUUGUUUGGUUAGAAUUGCACUAUAAGAACAAAUGUACAUUUCCUUCUCAUUUAUUCAUUUAUUUAUUUGUUUGUACCUGCUUGGGCCCACAAGUUCUUACCUGUUUCUAUGUGUGAGGAUUUGUUAUUACCAUUCACUGAUCUUGCUCAAACUGUCCCUGAUUUGAUCACAGGAACCCCUUCCUGUUGGUUCUUAAGGUGUUUUGACAUUUAUUUACCCCCAUUUUUCAAGUGCAUCUUACUUUUUGGUACCACACGAAGUUCCUGGCUCAUCUUGUUAGCUCUUUGCCUCGGCUCUAAAAUCACCUAUCCAAAUACCCCUCCUUCUUUCAUUGAGGAAUAGUAUUUAGAAGCCAAAAUCUGGGUGCUGUGCGUCCUCACUGUGAAUGAGGUGUCAUUGCUCAGAGGCCCUCUCAGUAGACAGAGCUGGAAAAUAUGUGUGUAACCACAUAUCUGCAAUGAUUUCUGUAACACUUGUUGUAUGUGUGUUUGUAUCCACAACAAUUUUAUAUUGAUGUUUCCAAUUCUGUCCAACACUGACUUUAUUCUAACAUUCCCCACCCUCCAUAUUUGUAACUCUUAUUAUAAUAGUAAGAAACUCAGCUUUCAUUAUCCUGAGUAUGUUUAUUUAGUUGCUCAACCCUAAAAUACACAUAGAACAGCUUCAGAAUUACUAAUCUAAAUAACCCACAUGCAAACCUACUAACUAGAGUGAAAUUCAAACCUACAACUGGAGCACUGUGUUUGUGGGCAAACCUUUGACUGUUUCUCCUCCGACCUGCGGUCAGAUCACCAUUUCCCAAAGUUCCUUAGUCCGUUCUCCGCCCGCCUUCCUUCCUGUCACUCAUCGGUAAUAAGAGUAGGUUCACUUCUUUCUGUUGAUGCCCCACUUUGGGUCUGCACCCCAACACGCUCCUCAUUGAGUUUACUUACCUGUUUCUGAGUAUGUGAAACAUUCACUUGUUUCCCAAACUCAGAACUAAACAAAAAAAUGUCAUUCUGCUGCUUUCCUCCAUUCCCAUUCCCAGGCUUUGUAAUCAACUAAUCUCAUUAUUUCCUAUAUACCCUUCUUUUCUUUUGAUGAAAGGGAAUGUAGUACAUAUGAUCCUUUCACUUCACAGUAUAUCCUGGAAACUGCUACGUAUGCACCUCGGAGCGUUCUGCUCAUUUCGUGAUUUGGCAUAAACUGAAUGAACUGUAGUUUAUUCACCCACCCUCUUACUUGAGGAAUUAGGUUGUUCCCAGUAUUCUCCAGUGCUGCAGUGCUAACACGAACAGCUUCGGGCACAUGUAUCCCUGUGCUACUCGGUGGGAGCCGGGCAGCACCUUCACGAUGAGUUCCCAGAAGUGAACCUGCUGGAUUAAAAGCCAAGUGCAGUGCAGUCCCAGCGGGUCUGGCCGCCUGUUUUCUGGCUUGUCCUCUUACCGGCAGUGUGUGAGAGGGCCUCUUCCCCGCAGGCUCCCUCCGCUGUGUUCUCCCACAUGCGACAGCAAUAAUAGUAUUACCCACAGCAGUGGUAGUGUGACUCCGUUCGGGUUCCUGGACCUGAUUCUGGUGUGUGGGAGGGAAUGGGAGGGGGUCUUCCCACACGGGACACCAAGCAGUUCUCCAACACCAGCAGGUGUCCAGAACUCAGUUCUGAUGACAGACGCCCACCUCACCUUUAAGGUUCUGCCGUGUCUUCAGGAACUGUGGGUGAAGACAGCAUGCCUGGGAAACAUGUAUGUGCUCGUAUGAAAGACCAAAUCUGUAUUUCUUAUGACUCACUGUAUCAUACUUCCCAAGAAAAUACAUGUCAUACUUUCUAAUUUUUCAGGCAAGAAUUUUGAUAGUGGCUCUAAGCAGUAGAGGUGAAAGAGCUUAGAUGUUAGACGUGUUUUGGAGGAGAAACCAGUUGGGAGGCUACAGUGGAUUCCUUGGGAGGCUAACGUGUCAGAUCUCCAACCAGGAUUCUCUCCCAUUCUGUUUAAAUUAGGCCUCAGUAGUAACAGUCUUAACUAGUAACUUCUUUUUUCUUGUCUGGUUUAUGAACUUUUGGGGGCUCCCCCCUCCUCUUGAGCGGCCUUAUUCGGAUAUUCCAGUAAAUGCACGGCAUUGGAACAGCCAGUCCAACUGCUCUAGCAAAUCACCGCCGACAUUUCAGGGGCUCCGUGCAGCAGCAGGCUAUUUCCAGCUCACCAAACAAUCCGGGAGCGCGGUGCACACCCCCCUGGCUUCCGCCGGUGCUGGCGGCGGUGUGGUGUCUGUGACUGACCCCGGCUGCGUGUCCCCUCCCAGGUGGGGUGACCGCUCUCUGCUGGGACCCCGGCCGGCGGGUGUUGUUCUCCGG
Non-coding RNA from Manis javanica (Malayan pangolin), 7692 nucleotides. The record is from RefSeq and is a predicted model, not a curated record. NCBI's taxonomy places the organism in Eukaryota, Metazoa, Chordata, Mammalia, Pholidota, Manidae.